GAGUUUGAUCCGUGGCUCAGGAUGAACGCUGGCGGCGUGCUUAACACAUGCAAGUCGAACGGUGAACUUGGGAGCUUGCUCCCGGGGGAUCAGUGGCGAACGGGUGAGUAACACGUGAGUAACCUGCCCUUGACUCUGGGAUAAGCACUGGAAACGGUGUCUAAUACCGGAUACGAGCUUCAGCCGCAUGGCUAGGAGCUGGAAAGAAUUUCGGUCAAGGAUGGACUCGCGGCCUAUCAGCUAGUUGGUGAGGUAAUAGCUCACCAAGGCGACGACGGGUAGCCGGCCUGAGAGGGUGGCCGGCCACACUGGGACUGAGACACGGCCCAGACUCCUACGGGAGGCAGCAGUGGGGAAUAUUGCACAAUGGGCGCAAGCCUGAUGCAGCAACGCCGCGUGAGGGACGACGGCCUUCGGGUUGUAAACCUCUUUUAGUAGGGAAGAAGCGAAAGUGACGGUACCUGCAGAAAAAGCACCGGCUAACUACGUG
RNAcentral lists this ribosomal RNA (490 nucleotides) under uncultured Microbacteriaceae bacterium. Its description in RNAcentral is "bacterial SSU rRNA". It matches the Rfam family "Bacterial small subunit ribosomal RNA", at positions 9 to 507 of the family's 1533-position model. Lineage: Bacteria; Bacillati; Actinomycetota; Actinomycetes; Micrococcales; Microbacteriaceae. The record is from RNAcentral.